ACCAGGUCUUGACAUCCCGAUGCUAUUUCUAGAGAUGAAAGUUACUUCGGUACAUCGGUGACAGGUGGUGCAUGGUUGUCGUCAGCUCGUGUCGUGAGAUGUUGGGUUAAGUCCCGCAACGAGCGCAACCCCUAUUGUUAGUUGCCAUCAUUCAGUUGGGCACUCUAGCGAGACUGCCGGUGAUAAACCGGAGGAAGGUGGGAUGACGUCAAAUCAUCAUGCCCCUUAUGACCUGGGCUACACACGUGCUACAAUGGUUGGUACAACGAGUUGCGAGUCGGUGACGGCGAGCUAAUCUCUUAAAGCCAAUCUCAGUUCGGAUUGUAGGCUGCAACUCGCCUACAUGAAGUCGGAAUCGCUAGUAAUCGCGGAUCAGCACGCCGCGGUGAAUACGUUCCCGGGCCUU
RNAcentral lists this ribosomal RNA (406 nucleotides) under uncultured Streptococcus sp. Its description in RNAcentral is "bacterial SSU rRNA". It matches the Rfam family "Bacterial small subunit ribosomal RNA", at positions 973 to 1382 of the family's 1533-position model. Lineage: Bacteria; Bacillati; Bacillota; Bacilli; Lactobacillales; Streptococcaceae. The record is from RNAcentral.